UACGGAGGGUGCAAGCGUUACUCGGAAUCACUGGGCGUAAAGGGUGCGUAGGCUGGCUUCUAAGUCAGAUGUGAAAUCCAAUGGCUUAACCAUUGAACUGCAUUUGAAACUGGGAGCCUAGAGUUCAGAAGGGGCAGAUGGAAUUAGUGGUGUAGGGGUAAAAUCCGUAGAUAUCACUAGGAAUAUCAAAAGCGAAGGCGAUCUGCUGGGAUGAUACUGACGCUGAGGCACGAAAGCGUGGGGAGCAAACAGGAUUAGAUACCCUGGUAGUCCACGCCCUAAACGAUGAAUGCUAGUCGUCGGGGAGCUCGUCUCUUCGGUGAUGCACUUAACAGAUUAAGCAUUCCGCCUGGGGAGUACGGUCGCAAGAUUAAA
Molecule: ribosomal RNA, 375 nt
Filed under: uncultured bacterium
Lineage: Bacteria
Description: bacterial SSU rRNA
Rfam family: Bacterial small subunit ribosomal RNA
Source: RNAcentral